AUUCCAGCUCCAAUAGCGUAUAUUAAAGUUGUUGCGGUUAAAAAGCUCGUAGUUGGAGUUCUGCCAGGUGGCGCUCGUCCGCCCAAGUGGUGUGUACAGGGCGUGCAUCUGGCCCUUUCAAGGGGAACGUGUCUGCACUUCAUUGUGUGGUGCGAGAUCCUUGACUUUUACUUUGAAAAAAUUAGAGUGCUCAAAGCAGGCUUUUCACGCUUGAAUAUUCGUGCAUGGAAUAAUGGAAUAGGAACUCGUUUCUAUUUUGUUGGUUUUCGGAAAUCGAGUUAAUGAUUAACAGGGACAAUUGGGGGCAUUAGUAUUCAGACGACAGAGGUGAAAUUCUUGGACCGUCUGAAGACUGACUACUGCGAAAGCAUCUGCCAUGGAUGUUUUCAUCA
This 392-nucleotide ribosomal RNA is filed under the name Oithona sp. RNAcentral describes it as "partial small subunit ribosomal RNA". It matches the Rfam family "Eukaryotic small subunit ribosomal RNA", at positions 582 to 975 of the family's 1831-position model. The record is from RNAcentral. Lineage: Eukaryota; Metazoa; Arthropoda; Copepoda; Cyclopoida; Oithonidae.